AGCCCAGGCCCCGCAGCCUACGUCGGGCGCAGACGCUCCCCCUGGCGGGGCGGGCGGGGGCUGCCAGGAGAAUCACCAGUACCCGCCUCCUCGCCCCGCAUCCUCGGGCCUGAGCGCCCGCCCACCGGCACGCGGAGGGGCUUCCUGGAACGAUUAGGCGGACCGUCGCCCCCAGGCUCCUUUCUCCCCUGGCGGAGUUUCUGCCCGCUGCGAUCUUCCCUAACUACCACUCUGCGGUCGCAGAAGACCAUCCAGAGGGGAGAUGAGGACUGGGAAGCCCGCUUGAGUGAUGCACAUCUGUGGCUUGUUACGAGAGCCGCGUGAAUUAAAGCAAGGCAGGGGACACCGCCCUGCCACUGCUUUCUAACCUUGAUUUUCAUCUUUCCUUCUCGGAUGGAAUCUAGAAGCCGCAGGAGUUUUCACUUGCGUCUGUGAUGGAGUUUCCCGCUCCCCGCCCCCCCGCACCAACCCGAGCUCUUUUUUCGCUUGGAGCCCGUAAGUUGCUAGAGGGCACCACGAUGGCUCUAGGAGCGCUGUCGGUGUUUUCUUCUGGAGGUGAUCCUGAAAUUUCCUCCCCAAAGCAAGCUCUGUUGCGAGGAGCAGGCUGGGGAUAUGUGCAAGUGAAUGUGUAUUCCAAGAGGGGGAUGAUACGCAGAUCUUUUGGUGUAUAGGAAUUAAUACUUUUAGAUUAUCAGUAAAAUGUAUACUUUCACUGGACUGAGAGAGAACAAGGCUUACGGUUACAUCAACCGGAUCAACAAAUAUUUAUUGUACUUGUAAUGAGUAAUACUUAGUCUAUUAUAUAAACAUAAAUGGAACCAUACCAUAGCAUAAAGUCUGUUUAUUUUUCAUAAAAUGUUUGAGUUUGUUACUCAAUUCCACUCCUCUGAUUAGUAGUCAAAAUCAAGUGUUCUGUUUUAAAAAGUUUAUAUUCUCUCAAUUUUGGAAUGUCAUAGCAUUGGGCCAGUGUCAAUGGCCCAAAAAAACAAAAUUUACCUUCAUGAAAAGAGUAUAAAAAAAGAAAAAAACUAAAAAUGUCAUUUUUAAUCCCACAAAAAUCAAUUACCCAACUCUCCUGAUUUUCUCCUCUCUGUUUCUGAAAUCAAAGUAACAUGCAUUAGGCACUGUUUUGUUCCGAGGAAGAUAUUGCAGGAGAAGCAAAAGUUUCUGCCUUUGAGCUUAGAAUUACACCAGAUAAGCAGGGAACAGUUCCAGCUAGCCUUAAUCAAGUUCCUACUGUAUUGAGGACUGCACAUUGUUUGAAGGGCAAAAAGUUAAGAAAUCUUUGAUUACUGAUGUAUUUGGGGGGCAGGUGGUGUAGUGGUUACUGUUUUAACUUUUGGUGUCUGGCUUUUUCACUUUUAUCUGUUUGACUUUUGAGUUUCUACACAAGGCAUCUCUGUAAAGCAGAAUUUUUGGAUUUUGGAUCUCUGUAAAACAGAAAUAGCUCUCUGGAUUCCCGUGUGGGGCAGGGAACCUUAAACUCCCUCCCCUCCCCAAAUAGCACCUUAAAUUACUUUAAGUUUUUAUUAUAUCUAGAAUUUAACCCAGGAAAGUUCUGCCAUUUCUUCUAACCUGAAAGAAAAAGAUCUGACAACAUCUCUUCCCAGGCCCAAGGGUGGGAGAGUGCCCAUAGGGGGAAAAAAAAAGGAAAAGAUAGCAAAGUACCUCAGCUGUGUACCACUCACUGAGCAUGCUGCAAGGAACAAACUGAAGCUGAGUUUUGCAAAUCCAUUUGCCAGUCUCUUCGUGAAACUAUGAAAACUCAAGAAAGUAACAUAACCUUUUUUUUUAGUAGAAACAUCAGUUUGUUUCUGCUUUGUGCUGUUGUAGAUUAUAAUUCUAUUUAAUAAAUAGUCAUUAAAUGGCAUUUACACUUAAAAGCAUUGUUGGGGAGAUAAAACCUAGAAUUAUAGAUCAAAAAAUUGGAUAGAAACUUAGACAUCAUCUUAUCCAGUUUCCCAUAGUCUCUGUUUAAAGCAGCUUUAAUUGCUCAGUGUUUUAAUUUUGGUUUUGUUUCUUUUCCAUUCAUGUUGAGUUAAAAACCGAAUCCAAUUCACUGUUUGUAAGACUACUGUCUUGCCCCCCGCCCGGCCGGCCGCCACGUCCGGGAGGUGAGGGGCGCCUCUGCCCGGCCGCC
Molecule: long non-coding RNA, 2140 nt
Filed under: Homo sapiens (human)
Lineage: Eukaryota; Metazoa; Chordata; Mammalia; Primates; Hominidae
Description: non-protein coding lnc-CARD6-5:1
Source: RNAcentral